Long non-coding RNA from Balaenoptera ricei (Rice's whale), 2946 nucleotides. RefSeq lists it as uncharacterized. The transcript has 7 exons. NCBI's taxonomy places the organism in Eukaryota, Metazoa, Chordata, Mammalia, Artiodactyla, Balaenopteridae. The record is from RefSeq and is a predicted model, not a curated record.
GCGGCGACUUCCGGGCGGAGCUGGUUGAAGGUGGGUGUUAGUCGAGGAAGGGCCCGGGCGGCCUUGUGCCCCUCGGUCCAGCUCUGGGCGCAGAUUGGCUUGAGGGAACGCCCCACCUCCUGCUUGCACACCUGAGGGCCCCUGGACCCCGGGAUGCGCCCUUAAGCCGAGAUGUCCCCUUCCGUGGGGCGCACCGGUGACCCGCGGUGCCUCGCAGGUGCUGCAGACCGUGGCUUCGGGCGGCUAAGAGGACUCCUGCAGGCAACAGGGACUUGUCAGGCCUGCUGUGGGAAGGCCCGCAGUGACAGCAGCGCGAUAAGCGCUGUCAGGGCGUUAGCCCUGGGUUAUCGGGCCGGGCUCACCUUCCUCUUCAAGGUGGCUCUCACCCCCUCCGCCUUCCCGGCUUCCUCCUCUUCUCCCAGCCGGGUGCACAGGACCCCCUCUCCUGCCCUUCACUCGCCCACCAGCAUGCUUCCGAGUCAGGUCCCUGCCUUCCCAUCACUACAAGUUUACGCACAGCCGGACAGCUUUUUUACAAGGUUCUUGACACACUUUUAUUUUAUCAGGCCUUAUCAAAUUCACUCCUGCUUCACUUCGCCAGGCCGGGCUCUUUAACUUCUUUCUGGUAGUUUAGGAUAAGCCUCAGUUUUUGAGUAGUUCUUGAAGGUACUUGAGUGCACAUGUGGGAUAAAGUACUAACCUACUUCUAUGACCUUCACAAAAAUCUAGGAAAUCAGGGCAGCCGUUUUAUUGAUGUAAAAACAGACUCUGAGGCCUUCUGAAUCCUUCUACUGCCCUUUGGCUACAGUGAGUGUGGUUUACUGUGUAAUCCUUUCCAGGGAUAGUUGCACUUCAGAAGACUGCCGAAUGCUUUAAGUGAAAAAAAAAAAAAAUAUUCUUUUUUUUUUUUGCCUGAAUGCAAGCCUGUGGUGUAGCUUUAUGCAGGAAGGCAUUUUAGCGGAAAAUUCUAAUCAGGGCCAGGACGGUGGCUACUCGAUUUGACUAUCUCUACAUGAUUGACAUCAUGUAACGUGAUUGGUAAACGGUGACCUUGAGGGACAAAUCCAGGUGAAUAGAGAUUGCUCAAGGAACAAUUAUUUGGACAGGUAUAUUGCCGACAGGAAGCAUUGAACACUAAAAAGAUUUUCAACGCGGUUUCCCCUCUUCCUGUGGAAAGUAAUGCCCUGUGAGAACUAGACUCAUUCCGGAGGGAAAAAGUCAUGGGUACGAAUACUGUGCACAGAUGCUGCUUACGCUUCCUUUAAAUAACUGAGACCAGACAGCCCUACAAUUCGGAAAAUGUAUGAAGAGAUAAAGCUGGUUCAGUGUUAAUGUUACAGUCUGUACACAUGCAGUCAGUAAAUGUUGUGAUAUGUGUAAGUAUGUUACUUCCUGUGAAUUACCCCCAUAUUACUGUUAGUCACCCGGUUGUAAAGUUUUGUGCCCGGUUCUGACAUGGGGACACUGAGCACGUGAGCCUCUCUUGUCCCCUGUUUAUAUCCAAACCCAGCCCGACACACUCAGUUAUCCCCUGUGCUGUUCAGCCUCCUCUGUCCCUGCUGGUCACAGAUUUACCCUCCUUUCUGCCUUCCCCUCUCUUAAGCUGUACUCAGCCCACACCCUCUGCCUCUACUUCCUUACGGUGUACAUUUUUUAACCCCUUGCAGUCUGACUUCCUUUUCCACCUCUCUACUGAAACGGUUCCUUGUAAAGAGCGCGUCUAACCCAGCUUGCAUACAGUGGCUCUGGGAUAUAACAGUGAGAAGACUGAUUGCAUUUAGCAGGGACAGGUGUGGGGUGAGCUUUACGUAAAGGGGGAUAUUCGGGAUACCAUGGGGACGUAUACCGAGGAGAUCUCAUUUAGUCGGGGCACAUAGAAGGCUUCUCAGGUAGAGAGAGAUUUGAGAUGAAGUUUGAGGGUGGAGUUAGGUGAGAGCUAGAGAAGGGAAGGAAGACGAGAGCCUUCCAAGUGAGAACAGCGAGUCGGAAGGACUGAAGCCGAGAGCCCACAGGUUCUCAAGGCUGCAGAGGCCUGUGUGCAGCAUGGUAAUGAGGCGCUCUUCUCUUUUUUUAUCCAGAUGCCCCCCUAGAAGUAUGCUGUGUAUUUCCCUCACAUUUGGAAAACAGACUCUGGGGAAUGACUUGGGAACACAAGCGGGACUGGUCCAGUGGCUUCGUUAGAAGGCAGCUCGGCGUGUGUGAGCUUCUGCUCGGAGCGAGUCCCGUUGCCCAGCGGUCCUGGACACUGCCCCCUGCAGAUGGGAGGGAUUUCGCACCCCGGUGUUGUCUCCUCGGAUCAUUGUGUUUACUACUCUGUCUUGUACACGAAGACUCUGUUAAGGCAGAUACGUGGACACUGAGAUAUCGGCAGAGGCCCCCAGGCUGCGUGCACGGGGGCAUGGGCCUGAUGCUCCCCUCUGAAACCUGUUCCAGUGGCCAGGAACACACAACAGAGGCUCUGAAGGGGACCCCCAUGGCUACUGCAAUCACAAGGUACAUGACUGUCGCCUUCUUCCUUCCUGGGACGGGUCCGACGAAGACGCUGGCCUGGUGAAGAUACUGGGGCAGAAGAGAUUUGCUUUGGUUAAACGUGACUCGAGCUGCAAGGAAAAACCCACCAUCUGUAAACUCAGUGCGUCACUGGGCCACCCUGCCCUGAAGCUGGGGAUCAAGAAUCUUACUAAAGUUGGAUGUAGUCACACGUCCUAAAAACUAGCUGCAGAGAUUGAUAACUGAAACGAUACAGAAAGGAAUACAGUAAGGACACCCAGAAUUCCUGAAGCCACCCGAGGACCCCGGACACCCUGAGAACAACCAAGUGGGAAGAGGGGAAGGCCUGCAUCCUAGGUAACAAAUGCUUCUAAGUCACUGGCCUGACCAAACCGGGAAUUGUCCUCCUCUUGUCCUUUUAAUGUCAGGAAAAAAAAAAUCUUGAUUUUUAAGCUA